This 93-nucleotide signal recognition particle RNA is filed under the name Myxococcales bacterium. RNAcentral describes it as "signal recognition particle sRNA small type". It matches the Rfam family "Bacterial small signal recognition particle RNA". From Rfam's summary of the family: The signal recognition particle (SRP) is a universally conserved ribonucleoprotein involved in the co-translational targeting of proteins to membranes. Archaeal SRP consists of a 7S RNA and homologues of the eukaryotic SRP19 and SRP54 proteins. The record is from RNAcentral. Lineage: Bacteria; Pseudomonadati; Myxococcota; Myxococcia; Myxococcales.
AGUCGGGAUUGGCAAUGGGAUGACCGAAAAUCCCGCCAGGUCCGGGAGGAAGCAACGGUAUUGGUUGUUUCAUGUGCGUAAAUCCCGGCUAUC